This 254-nucleotide ribosomal RNA is filed under the name uncultured bacterium. RNAcentral describes it as "partial 16S ribosomal RNA". It matches the Rfam family "Bacterial small subunit ribosomal RNA", at positions 524 to 776 of the family's 1533-position model. The record is from RNAcentral.
UACGUAGGGUGCAGGCGUUGUCCGGAAUUAUUGGGCGUAAAGGGCGCGUAGGCGGCCACCGCAAGUCGACUGUGAAAUCUCCGGGCCUAACCCGGAAAGGUCAGCCGAUACUGCGGGGCUAGAGUGCAGAAGGGGCAACUGGAAUUCUCGGUGUAGCGGUGAAAUGCGUAGAUAUCGAGAGGAACACCUGCGGCGAAGGCGGGUUGCUGGGCUGACACUGACGCUGAUGCGCGAAAGCUAGGGGAGCGAACGGG